AGCAUCCCACUGGGGAGUACGCGGCAAACGGUGAAACUCAAAGGAAUUGACGGGGGCCCGCACAAGCGGAGGAACAUGUGGUUUAAUUCGAUGAUACGCGAGGAACCUUUACCCGGGCUUGAACUGCAGCGGAAGGAUACAGAGAUGUUGACGCCCUUCGGGGCCGCUGUGGAGGUGCUGCAUGGUUGUCGUCAGCUCGUGCCGUGAGGUGUCGGCUUAAGUGCCAUAACGAGCGCAACCCUUUUCAUUAGUUGCCAUCAGGUGAUGCUGGGCACUCUGGUGAUACUGCCACCGUAAGGUGUGAGGAAGGUGGGGAUGACGUCAAAUCAGCACGGCCCUUACGUCCGGGGCUACACACGUGUUACAGUGGGAGGUACAGAGAGUCGGUCGAUUGCAAAAACGAUCUAAUCCUUAAAGCCUUCCUCAGUUCGGAUUGGGGUCUGCAACCCGACCCCAUGAAGCUGGAUUCGCUAGUAAUCGCGCAUCAGCCAUGGCGCGGUGAAUACGUUCCCGGGCCUUGUACACACCGCCCGUCAAGCCAUGAAAGCCGGGGGCGCUUGAAGUCCGUGACCGCAAGGAUCGGCCUAGAGCGAAACUGGUAAUUGGGGCUAAGUCGUAACAAGGUAGCCG
This 630-nucleotide ribosomal RNA is filed under the name uncultured bacterium. RNAcentral describes it as "bacterial SSU rRNA". It matches the Rfam family "Bacterial small subunit ribosomal RNA", at positions 863 to 1502 of the family's 1533-position model. The record is from RNAcentral.